AGGUAGGAAUACCCGCUGAACUUAAG
Molecule: ribosomal RNA, 26 nt
Filed under: Clonostachys rosea
Lineage: Eukaryota; Fungi; Ascomycota; Sordariomycetes; Hypocreales; Bionectriaceae
Description: partial 28S ribosomal RNA
Source: RNAcentral